CCAAGGAGUCUAACAUGUGUGCGAGUCAUUGGGCGCACUAAACCCAAAGGCGUAAUGAAAGUGAAAGGGGGGCGUCCCGGAGUCCUCGUGGCUUCGGUCGGCGCCCUCCGGGGCCGAUCCCUGACCGGUCGAUGCCGCCGUUUGGUUUUCCCAUGCCAAAGCGAGGUCAUCCCAAAGGGGGUGCGCGGGGUGAGUCCCUUUCCCCCGUCGUCUGCCUCUGGCCUCGUGGGAGCCCGGCGCGCUCUUUGACGGUCCGAGCUCCCUCGUUGGGGCUCGCUUGUACGCAGGGGGGCGCAGGCCCGGGACUUGCCAUUUGACGCCGUCGCGCGAAUCUGUUGUUGGCCUCAUCGGCUUUGCUUGGGCUCUCGGUUGGUGCGCCGCGUGUCUUUGGGCGGGCUUUGGGUGGGGGGCCUCGGCUCCUCCCCGGGUUCGUCCGGCGCGGUUUCGCCUUCCGAUCCUGCUCUGUUCGGAGUGGCCUAGCGCGCGUGCUGUCGGCAAGUACCAUGAGCAGACAUGUUGGGACCCGAAAGAUGGUGAACUAUGCCUGGCCAGGAUGAAGCCAGAGGAAACUCUGGUGGAGGUCCGUAGCAAUUCUGACGUGCAAAUCGA
RNAcentral lists this ribosomal RNA (609 nucleotides) under Austinograea alayseae. RNAcentral describes it as "partial 28S large subunit ribosomal RNA". It matches the Rfam family "Eukaryotic large subunit ribosomal RNA", at positions 666 to 901 of the family's 3401-position model. The record is from RNAcentral. Lineage: Eukaryota; Metazoa; Arthropoda; Malacostraca; Decapoda; Bythograeidae.